GUGCUUGCUUUGGCAGCAUGUAUACUAACAUUGGAAUUAUGUAGAGAAGAUUAAUAUAGUUGUUGCACAAUGAUAACACAAUUUUGUGAAGUGUUCCACAAUUUU
Molecule: small nuclear RNA, 105 nt
Filed under: Crocodylus porosus (Australian saltwater crocodile)
Lineage: Eukaryota; Metazoa; Chordata; Crocodylia; Crocodylidae
Source: RNAcentral